GACGAACGCUGGCGGCGUGCUUAACACAUGCAAGUCGAACGGAAAGGCCCUGCUUGCAGGGUACUCGAGUGGCGAACGGGUGAGUAACACGUGGGUGAUCUGCCCUGCACUUCGGGAUAAGCCUGGGAAACUGGGUCUAAUACCGGAUAGGAGCCAUUUUUAGUGUGAUGGUUGGAAAGUUUUUUCGGUGUAGGAUGAGCUCGCGGCCUAUCAGCUUGUUGGUGGGGUAAUGGCCUACCAAGGCGGCUACGGGUAGCCGGCCUGAGAGGGUGGACGGCCACAGUGGGACUGAGAGACGGCCCAGACUCCUACGGGAGGCAGCAGUGGGGAAUAUUGCACAAUGGGCGCAAGCCUGAUGCAGCGACGCCGCGGGGGGGAUGACGGCCUUCGGGUUGUAAACUCCUUUCGCUAGGGACGAAGCUUUUUGUGACGGUACCUAGAGAAGAAGCACCGGCUAACUACGUG
This 465-nucleotide ribosomal RNA is filed under the name uncultured bacterium. RNAcentral describes it as "partial 16S ribosomal RNA". It matches the Rfam family "Bacterial small subunit ribosomal RNA", at positions 28 to 507 of the family's 1533-position model. The record is from RNAcentral.